UGGGGAAUUUUUCGCAAUGGGGGAAACCCUGACGAAGCAACGCCGCGUGGAGGAUGAAGGCCUUCGGGUCGUAAACUCCUGUCGACCGGGACGAAAGUGGUUCGACCUAAUACGUCGAGCCAUCGACUGUACCGGUGGAGGAAGCCACGGCUAACUCUGUGCCAGCAGCCGCGGUAAUACGUAGGGACCAAGCGUUGUUCGGAUUUACUGGGCGUAAAGGGCGCGUAGGCGGCAUGACAAGUCACUUGUGAAAUCUCUGGGCUUAACCCAGAACGGCCAAGUGAUACUGUCGCGCUAGAGUGCAGAAGGGGCAAUCGGAAUUCUUGGUGUAGCGGUGAAAUGCGUAGAUAUCAAGAGGAACACCUGAGGUGAAGACGGGUUGCUGGGCUGACACUGACGCUGAGGCGCGAAAGCCAGGGGAGCAAACGGGAUUAGAUACCCAUGUAGUCCCUGAGCGGGCUGGCAAGGCGCAU
Molecule: ribosomal RNA, 473 nt
Filed under: uncultured bacterium
Lineage: Bacteria
Description: bacterial SSU rRNA
Rfam family: Bacterial small subunit ribosomal RNA
Source: RNAcentral